GCCCUUAGAGUUUGAUCCUGGCUCAGAACGAACGCUGGCGGCGUGCUUAACACAUGCAAGUCCGACGUGAAAGGGGAGCAAUCCCCCGGUAGGGUGGCGAACGGGUGAGUAAGACAUGGGAAUCUGUCCUUGAGAUGGGGAUAUCCUUCCGAAAGGAGGGUUAAUACCGAAUACCGUCCGGUGGAUGAGAGUUCACCGGGGAAGGGGAGGCCUCUGGCAACACGCUUCCGCUCAGGGAGGAGCCCAUGCCCCAUCAGCUAGUUGGGAGGGUAACGGCCUACCAAGGCGAAGACGGGUAGCUGGUCUGAGAAGGACGAUCAACCACACUGGCACUGAGGACACGGCCCAGACUCCUUACGGAGAGGCAGCAGUGAGGAAUUUUGCGCAAUGGGGGCAACCCUGACGCAGCAACGCCGCGUGUGGGAAGGAAGGCUUUCGGGUUGUAAACCACUUUUGUAAGGGACGAAGUCCUUUCGGCAAAUAACCGAGGGGGAUGACGGUACCUUGCGAAUAAGCCCACGGCUAACUCUGUGCCAGCAGCCCGCGGUAAGACAGGGGGUGGCAAGCGUUUGUUCGGGAGUAACUGGGGCGUAAAGGGUCUGUAGGGUGGGUUUUUCAAGUCUUUGGUAAAACGGCCGUGGCCUCAACCCAUGGGUUUGGCCAAGGAGACUGGGGAGACCUCGAGGCUGGGAGAGAGGAAGCGGAAUUUUCUGGUGUAGCGGUGAAAUGCGUAGAGAUCAAAAAGAAAGCCCGUGGCGAAGGCGGCUUCCUGGAACAGACCUGACACUGAGAGACGAAAGCGUGGGGAGCAAACAGGAUUAGAUACCCUGGUAGUCCACGCCCUAAACGAUGGGAACUAAGUGUGGGGAGCAAUCCCCGUGCCGCAGCUAACGCAAUAAGUUCCCCGCCUGGGGAGUACGGCCGCAAGGUUGAAACUCAAAUGAAUUGACGGGGAAGGGC
This 960-nucleotide ribosomal RNA is filed under the name uncultured bacterium. RNAcentral's name for it is "bacterial SSU rRNA". It matches the Rfam family "Bacterial small subunit ribosomal RNA", at positions 1 to 924 of the family's 1533-position model. The record is from RNAcentral.